CGGGCUAUUAGCUCAGUGGUAGAGCGCGCCCCUGAUAACGAGGUCUCUGGUUCAAAUCCAGGAUGGCCCA
This 70-nucleotide transfer RNA is filed under the name Pellia neesiana. RNAcentral's name for it is "tRNA-Val". It matches the Rfam family "tRNA". From Rfam's summary of the family: Transfer RNA (tRNA) molecules are approximately 80 nucleotides in length. Lineage: Eukaryota; Viridiplantae; Streptophyta; Jungermanniopsida; Pelliales; Pelliaceae. The record is from RNAcentral.